GUCUAUGGCCAUGCCACCCACAAUGUACCUGAUCUCAUCUGAUCUUGGAAGCUAGGUAGCGUUGAGCCUGAUUAGUGCUUGGAUGGGAGAUUGCCAGGGAAUAGUGGGUUCUCUAGACU
RNAcentral lists this ribosomal RNA (119 nucleotides) under Propithecus coquereli (Coquerel's sifaka). The record is from RNAcentral. Lineage: Eukaryota; Metazoa; Chordata; Mammalia; Primates; Indriidae.